Molecule: long non-coding RNA, 1814 nt
Organism: Erpetoichthys calabaricus (reedfish)
Lineage: Eukaryota; Metazoa; Chordata; Cladistia; Polypteriformes; Polypteridae
Exons: 4
Source: RefSeq, a predicted model, not a curated record
AGAAAGAGAAGAAGAGCUGCUGUACAGUAUUUCCAAUUCGAAAAAGAAAAGGAGCUGAAAACGAUUUCUGACACGGAACGAUGGCACAACAGAACCAGGCAUGGACUCAAAGAAUAAAAAGCUCAGUAUAUUUAAAGAAACUUUAGAUCCAUUAAACAAAACUAAUGAGAUGUACGAUUAUAUACUGUAUAGCGAAUCCAAGUGUUCUCUGUUUAUCGUCAUUACUGACAUAUCCUAUUUUUAAGCAUAUCGUUUUAAUUAUUUUUUACCUCUUGUAUUAUUUCUUUUUAAUAUUUGCCGUAUUAUUUCAUCUAUAUUAACAUUUUCACUUAUUUAUGAGAUGUUAUGUAGAGAAUCUGCAAUGUUAGUGUACAAUAUGAAAGGUAUUUAUGUUUAUCGUCGUCAUUAACGUAUGUUAAAUAUCUUAUCUUAAUUUAGUUAAGUUAGCUAUUUAUAAAAGCACGUUAGCGCUUUCUGCCAAAUUAGUAUUACACUAGUCAUUUAGCCCGUUAUAAUAACGGGCGCUAGAACAGUAGUGCAUAAACAUUAUUAGGAACAGUCUAUAUUAAAUGGCAACGGACUUUGACCUCAUUCCGUUUGUUGGUGGUAUUUUUCUUUCUUUCAGCCUUUCUUUUGUUGAUGUUUACUUGCUGAGCUGACCGUUCUUAGUGGGCUGCCGCCGUGUAUUGUGUGUCUUUAAUUUUCUGUGACAGUAAUACUGUCUUGUACGUCCGUAAUAUACCUUUAAUUUUCUCUGGCGGUAAUACAGGCGUGCGCGUUGGUAAUAUGCCUUUAAUCUCCUCUGACAAUAAUACUGGCUUGUAUGUGGCUGUAAUAUGCGUCACUGUAUUGUGUACCUUUAAUUUCCUCUCGCAGUAAUACUGGUUUGUAUUUCCGUAAAACGCCUCUAACUUUCUCUGACAGUAAUAUCGCGCAUUGCACAGUUCACCGCGCAUGCGCACUUCACCAGAAGAGAGACACACGGACACCUGGACGCACAAAGGGAUUUUAUUAAAGAGGAUAUUAACUUUUUCACUUAUUUAUGAGAUGUUAUGUAGAGAAUCUGCAAUGUUAGUGUACAAUAUGAAAGUCACAUUUCUCCAUAAAGGCAGAGAAUAUAAAAACAACUUUGAUAACAUUGAUUAAAUAUCCAAAUGAAUCCAAGUGCCCUCUUUGUAAAAAGCACAGAGACUACAGCAUCCUGCGACAUCAUCUUCAGAGUCAUGAAGGCCACAUUGUCAAGUGUGCAGGUUUAGACUGUAUUGAGCCAUUAAUGAGAAGACAGAGUAAAGACUUGGCACUACAUCUGAAAUGAACAAAUGUCUUGCUAUUCUGUUCCAUAGCACUGCAUUCUGCAGAUUUCAGAUUUUUUCUUUCAGAAGAAACGUCAGCGUCCCUUCUCCAACAUCCAGCACAGGGCACUGAUGAGCAGCAGCAUGGAAUCCUUCAGCAUUUCACCGAGGCACAGAAGUGGUGUGCUGAGAACAUUUCUGUGUUCAGGGGGCACAUCUCACUCCCUGCAUUACUGUCAAUGGACAAAGACGACACUGAGGAGGCCCUUCAGAAAUCUGAUUUGCUAUCUGAAUUUCCAGAAGAAGAGGAGAGGGAAUAUGUCGUUAGACAUAUUUUUUUCACAUAUGGAAGACAUGCAUCUGUUUUUAGAUUAACGUGAGGAAAAAGGAAAAUGACUGAGUUUUGUGAGAAAGUGUAACAAACAUACAUGUCCCUCAUUGUUCAGUUACAACCUACAAUUCUUGUUCUAUAUUUUAUAUGUUCUUUAACUUUUUUGUAAUAAAUGUUGCAAACCAACUUCA